Molecule: unclassified non-coding RNA, 206 nt
Filed under: Hevea brasiliensis (rubber tree)
Lineage: Eukaryota; Viridiplantae; Streptophyta; Magnoliopsida; Malpighiales; Euphorbiaceae
Source: RNAcentral
GAAGUGAAUUCGCCGGGCCCGGAUCGCGCCGUGGUGUUUCAGAACCACAGCCUGCUGCCCUGGCUGACGGUCUAUGACAACGUGCGUCUUGGCGUCGACAAGGUGUUCGGAUCGACCAAAACCCGCGCCGAGCGCGAUGAAUGGGNACCUCAACCUCGUGCAGAUGACCCACGCCAAGGACAAGCGCCCGUCCGAAAUUUCCGGCG